Molecule: ribosomal RNA, 363 nt
Filed under: uncultured Anoxybacillus sp.
Lineage: Bacteria; Bacillati; Bacillota; Bacilli; Caryophanales; Anoxybacillaceae
Description: bacterial SSU rRNA
Rfam family: Bacterial small subunit ribosomal RNA
Source: RNAcentral
UCGGGUGACAGGGUGACAGGUGGUGCAUGGUUGUCGUCAGCUCGUGUCGUGAGAUGUUGGGUUAAGUCCCGCAACGAGCGCAACCCUCGACCUUAGUUGCCAGCAUUCAGUUGGGCACUCUAAGGUGACUGCCGGCUAAAAGUCGGAGGAAGGUGGGGAUGACGUCAAAUCAUCAUGCCCCUUAUGACCUGGGCUACACACGUGCUACAAUGGGUGGUACAAAGGGUCGCGAACCCGCGAGGGGGAGCCAAUCCAGCAAAACUUCCCUCAGUUCAGAUUGCAGGCUGCAACUCGCCUGCAUGAAGUUGGAGUUGCUAGUAAACGCAGGUCAGCCAUACUGCGUUGAAUACGUUCCCGGGGCUU